UAAUGUAACUGGCUCUCCGGAAAGACC
RNAcentral lists this non-coding RNA (27 nucleotides) under Mus musculus (house mouse). The record is from RNAcentral. Lineage: Eukaryota; Metazoa; Chordata; Mammalia; Rodentia; Muridae.